AGAGUUUGAUCCUGGCUCAGGACGAACGCUGGCGGCGUGCCUAAUACAUGCAAGUCGAACGAGAGCGACCGGUGCUUGCCCUGGUCAAUCUAGUGGUGAACGGGUGAGUAACACGUGGGUAACCUGCCCAUCAGAGGGGGAUAACAUUCGGAAACGGAUGCUAAAACCGCAUAGGUCCUUUAACCGCAUGGUUGAAGGAGGAAAAGAGGCGCAAGCUUCUGCUGAUGGAUGGACCCGCGGUGCAUUAGCUAGUUGGUGAGGUAACGGCUCACCAAGGCCGUGAUGCAUAGCCGACCUGAGAGGGUGAUCGGCCACAUUGGGACUGAGACACGGCCCAAACUCCUACGGGAGGCAGCAGUAGGGAAUCUUCCGCAAUGGACGCAAGUCUGACGGAGCAACGCCGCGUGAGUGAAGAAGGUUUUCGGAUCGUAAAACUCUGUUGUUAGAGAAGAACAAGUGCUAGAGUAACUGUUAGCGCCUUGACGGUAUCUAACCAGAAAGCCACGGCUAACUACGUGCCAGCAGCCGCGGUAAUACGUAGGUGGCAAGCGUUGUCCGGAUUUAUUGGGCGUAAAGCGAGCGCAGGCGGUUCCUUAAGUCUGAUGUGAAAGCCCCCGGCUCAACCGGGGAGGGUCAUUGGAAACUGGGGAACUUGAGUGCAGAAGAGGAGAGUGGAAUUCCAUGUGUAGCGGUGAAAUGCGUAGAUAUAUGGAGGAACACCAGUGGCGAAGGCGACUCUCUGGUCUGUAACUGACGCUGAGGCUCGAAAGCGUGGGUAGCAAACAGGAUUAGAUACCCUGGUAGUCCACGCCGUAACGAUGAGUGCUAAGUGUUGGAGGGUUUCCGCCCUUCAGUGCUGCAGUUAACGC
This 869-nucleotide ribosomal RNA is filed under the name uncultured bacterium. RNAcentral's name for it is "bacterial SSU rRNA". It matches the Rfam family "Bacterial small subunit ribosomal RNA", at positions 8 to 858 of the family's 1533-position model. The record is from RNAcentral.